This 427-nucleotide ribosomal RNA is filed under the name uncultured bacterium. Its description in RNAcentral is "partial 16S ribosomal RNA". It matches the Rfam family "Bacterial small subunit ribosomal RNA", at positions 355 to 774 of the family's 1533-position model. The record is from RNAcentral.
UGGGGAAUUUUGGACAAUGGGCGCAAGCCUGAUCCAGCAAUGCCGCGUGAGUGAAGAAGGCCCUCGGGUUGUAAAGCUCUUUUGUCAGGGAAGAAAAGGUGAUCUCUAAUACAGGUCACUCAUGACGGUACCUGAAGAAUAAGCACCGGCUAACUACGUGCCAGCAGCCGCGGUAAUACGUAGGGUGCAAGCGUUAAUCGGAAUUACUGGGCGUAAAGCGUGCGCAGGCGGUUAUAUAAGUCAGAUGUGAAAUCCCCGGGCUCAACCUGGGAGCUGCAUUUGGGACUGUAUGGCUAGAGUGUGUCAGAGGGGGGUAGAAUUCCACGUGUAGCAGUGAAAUGCGUAGAUAUGUGGUGGAAUACCGAUGGCGAAGGCAGCCCCCUGGGAUAACACUGACGCUCAUGCACGAAAGCGUGGGGAGCAAACA